GAUAGACUGAAGCCUUUAAUUUCUGUUUGCAUCAACUGGGGUAGAGUUUUUUCUCCUGUCAAACGCACAGUUUUGGAAGGUGUUGACUGGGGAUGUGUAAUGUCCUUCGAAUAGGAAAAAUCCUCUAUAUCAGGCAGUCUAACAAGCAUAACUUUUUUGCCAGAAGAUUCUUCCUUGACCUCUUUGGCUAUGACUUCCACAGUCUUUU
RNAcentral lists this unclassified non-coding RNA (208 nucleotides) under Hevea brasiliensis (rubber tree). The record is from RNAcentral. Lineage: Eukaryota; Viridiplantae; Streptophyta; Magnoliopsida; Malpighiales; Euphorbiaceae.